UUGACCUCGGAUCAGGUAGGGAUACCCGCUGAACUUAAGCAUAUCAUAAAACCCCGAAGAAAA
This 63-nucleotide ribosomal RNA is filed under the name Bipolaris zeicola. Its description in RNAcentral is "partial 28S ribosomal RNA". Lineage: Eukaryota; Fungi; Ascomycota; Dothideomycetes; Pleosporales; Pleosporaceae. The record is from RNAcentral.